UACGUAGGGGGCUAGCGUUGUCCGGAAUCAUUGGGCGUAAAGCGCGCGUAGGCGGCCAGAUAAGUCCGGUGUGAAAGUCACAGGCUCAACCUGGGAACUGCAUUCGAGACUGCAUUGCUAGAGUAUGGGAGAGGGAAGUGGAAUUUCCGGUGUAGCGGUGAAAUGCGUAGAUAUCGGAAGGAACAUCAGUGGCGAAAGCGACUUCCUGGACCAAUACUGACGCUCAUGUGCGAAAGCGUGGGGAGCAAACAGG
Molecule: ribosomal RNA, 253 nt
Filed under: uncultured bacterium
Lineage: Bacteria
Description: partial 16S ribosomal RNA
Rfam family: Bacterial small subunit ribosomal RNA
Source: RNAcentral